CAGGCAGCUCAGACGGCGCUGGGCAGACGGGCAGCUCAGAUGACGCUGGGUAGGCGGGCAGCUCAAACGGCGCUGGGCAGACGGACAGCGCAGGCGGCGCUGGGCAGACGGCAGACUCUGGCCGGCUGAGGCGCACAGUAGGCCUGGUACGUGGUGCCGGAACUGGUGGUACCGGGCUAAGGACACCCACCUCAAUGCUAGUGCGGGGAGCAGCAACAGGGUGCACAGGGCUCUGGAGAUGCACAGGAGGCUUGGUGCGUGGUGCCGGAACUGGUGGUACCGGGCUGGAGACACGCACCACAGGGCGAGUGCGUGGAGGAGGAACAGGGCUCUGGAGACGCACUGGAAGCCUGUUGCGUGGUGUAGGCACUGGUGGUACUGGGCUGGGGCGAGGAGGUGGCGCCGGAUAUACCGGACCGUGAAGGCGUACAGGAGCUCUUAAGCACCGAGCCUGCCCAACCUUACCUGGUUUAAUGCUCCCCGUAGCCAGGCCAAUGCGGCGAGGUGGAAUAGCCCGCACUGGGCUGGCGAACCGGGGACACCAAGCGUAAGGCUAGUGCCAUGUACACCGGCCCGAGGAGACGUACUGGAGGCCAGAUACGUUGAGCCGGCUUCAUGGCACCUGGCUCGAUGCCCACUCUAGCCCGGCCGACACGUGGAGCUGGAAUGUACCGCACCGGGCUAAGCACACGUACAGGGGACACCGUGCGCUCUUCGCAUAACACUGUGUCUGCCCGUACUCUUGCUCUCCACGGUAAUCACGGGGAGUUGGCGCAGGUCUCCUACCUGACUUCGCCACACUCCCUUUUAGCCACCCCCCCCCAAGAAAUUUUUGGGGCUGGCUCUCAGGCUUCCAGCCUCGCUUCCGUGCCUCCUCAUACCACCGCCUCUCGGAUUUAGCAGCCUCCAGCUCUUCACGAGGGGGGCGAUAUUCACCCGGUUGUGCCCAGGGUCCUCCGCUGUCCAGAAUUUCCUCCCAAUUCCAUAAGUCCUGCGAUCGCUGCUCCUGCUGCUGCUGCCGCUUACCACGCUGCAUGGUCCGAGUGUGGUGCGUGAUUCUGUCACGAUCGUCGUAUUGUGGAAGAGAGGAGGACCAAGGCGCAGCGUGAUAACAAUACAUCUUCUCUUUAUUUGAAGACGAAAACGAAACGAAACGACACUGACAAACUAAACAAAACAACAAACCGACGAACGUGAAGCUAUAUAAACAAUAAGUGCAGACACAGGCAACUUAGACAUAGACAAUCACCCACAACCUACCUAAUGACUAUGGCUGCCUAAAUAUGGCUCCCAAUCAGAGACAACGAUAGACAGCUGUCUCUAAUUGAGAACCAAUCUAGGCAACCAUAGACUUACAUAAACACCUACAAUGAACACAACCCCAUGAACUCUACAAACACCCCCUAGACAAUACAAACACCCUAGACGAGACAAAAACACACAAACAUCCCCCAUGUCACACCCUGACCUAACUAAAAUAAUAAAGAAAACAUAGAUAACUAAGGCCAGGGCGUGACAUGUGGCCCAUUGGUAGAUUGGCAUUAUACAUCAUUGUAUGUUAUCCAAAAUAGUAAAAUAUGUUGGUAUUACCACAGGGUCAACUAGUAUUUAUUUCUCUCUCUCUUGCCCUCUCCCCCUCGUUCUCUCUCCCCCUCUCUCACACUCCUUUAGAGGAAAGACACUUCUUUAUUUCUCUCACACUCUCUCUCUCUCGUGUUUUUCAAAUCGCGAGAGCACCCAACAGAGUAAAGCCUUCAUAUAUUAACAUUAUUGGAAUGCUUUUUAUGAGUUUUUUUUCUUUCUUACCAAGGAUAUUGAUGAGAUUGUCAGCAAACCAAACACCGAUAAAAUAGCAACACGGUUCACAUGGGCCCAGGUGAGUGAUAGACAGUAGAGAAAGCUAAAUAAAUAAAGUUGUAUGACAUGAAAUAAUCAAAGUUAACUGACUUAUUUAACUUAAAGACAGACAAACAAAUUAAUGACAAAAUGCACACUACUGAAAACACUCUUACCCUCCCUCUCUCUCUCUAUCAUUCUCAUUUCAUGUUUCCGUCAUGUGUGUUGUGGCUUUCUUAUAGGUUAUAUUGUAGUAUUAGAAAACUAAAAUCAAACUCAACGUACAUAAAGCGUAUAAUAUUGUUUCCUGUCAUUUGUAGGACAGUGUCCCUCAAGAAACAGAGGACGUGUGGAGUCACGUCUCGAUUCUCUCCUUUGCUUUGAGACGAGACACUACUGGUGUGUUGGUGGAAGACUUCCUGACACUUCUACGGUUACAUUCUGCAGGGACAAGUGCAGUUCCAGCAAUUGUUCUCAGGUGAUAGGUCAGUGUGUGCAAAGAGAACACAUUUGACCAGGUGGAGUCAAGCUUCUACCUAUGUACUUCAUCGCCCUGGACCUCUACACCAGCGAGGCAGAGGACACCAAGUUUGGACCAAUUAUGCUAAUGCCCCGCUUUAAGAACCUGGAGAUCUUCACUGGUGACUUGGCCACAAACUGUACCCGGGACACCUUCCAUCGCCACCACUGUCUGAAAAACUGUGUGUACUGAUUCAGUUCUAAAUGACCAUCAUUGAGUCCAUCCUCACCUCCUCCAUCACCGCAAUGGAUUGUCCAGUCUGCUGAGAGGUUCAUUGGGUGCCACCUGCCCUCCAUCGAUGACCUGCACGACUCAAGAGCAAGGAAUCUUGCAGGGAAGAUCAUUUGCCGACCCCUUUCGCCCCCUCUUCCAAAGACUCUCUUCUGGCAAACGGUUCAGGUCAAUCACGGCCAAAACCUCCCACCACCUGAACAGUGUCUUCUGUGGCCCUCAACAAUCGGCCACCUGGUCUGCGAUAAUCCUGUCAUCCAUGGAUUUUGUACUAUUCAUCCACAGACUAUGCACCCUGCAUGAUCAUCCCAGAACUGCAGAUUUUAUAAUGUAGCUUAAGGUGUUCAUAGUGUACAUAUACUGUAUGUGGAUCUGUGGACAAUCUGCAUCUGUAUAUUGUUUUGGCUGUAUAUUCUGUAUAUCGUCUGUCUGUAUAUUCUGUUUAUUGUUGCAGCACCAUUUCAUAGAGUCCUGUGCAUGCACAUAUAUUUGCAGAAUAAAGCUGAUUCUGACAUGUUAACCUAGUUUAGCUGGUUAAUCCUAUGUCAGUUUACAAUCUA
Long non-coding RNA from Salvelinus fontinalis (brook trout), 3147 nucleotides. RefSeq lists it as uncharacterized. Lineage: Eukaryota; Metazoa; Chordata; Actinopteri; Salmoniformes; Salmonidae. The record is from RefSeq and is a predicted model, not a curated record. The transcript is spliced from 3 exons.